AUAUUAAACAGGUUAGUUCUCUCUUCUUUGCCAAAUCUCCAAUCUCUGGCGGGCAAGUUAGGGUUUACUUUCUCUAUAAGCUCUGGAUCUCUUUCUCCUCUGAUCUUUCUCUAAGUUAAUAUCUAAAGGUGUGGUGAUCGGUUUCCUAAUUCAAAUUGCAGUCCAUUCAUUUAUUUGUUAGCAUUGCCAUUUUCAUUUCAUUAUUUCAUGUUAUCUCUUGAUUUCCUUUGAUAAAUAAUCAGUUUUAUUUCUGCAUCUUUGCCUAUUUUUACAUGGUUUAUUUGCAAAGAAUAGCUUAUAAUGGUCAUGUUUUUGAUAUGUAUAGUUUUAGAUUUUGGUGUAAAUAAUCUGAGCUUAGUUUUG
Molecule: unclassified non-coding RNA, 363 nt
Filed under: Hevea brasiliensis (rubber tree)
Lineage: Eukaryota; Viridiplantae; Streptophyta; Magnoliopsida; Malpighiales; Euphorbiaceae
Source: RNAcentral